Trichonephila clavata is the source of this 81-nucleotide non-coding RNA. The record is from the annotation of a GenBank genome assembly. Lineage: Eukaryota; Metazoa; Arthropoda; Arachnida; Araneae; Nephilidae.
GGUAGCGUGGCCGAGCGGUGUAAGGCGCUGGCUUAAGGUACCAGUUUCUACGGUGGUGUGGGUUCGAAUCCAUCGUUGCCA